AAACCGUUCAGGGGUAAACCUGAGAAACCCAAAAGAUCGAAUGGGGAGAUUCACCGUCAGCGCGGAAGACUCGGCGCGUGUUCGCGAUGUCCGGCUUCGGUCGCGACACGCGUCUCGCGCUCGACGUUCGGCCGCGUCGGCGUGCACUUCUCCCCUAGUAGGACGUCGCGACCCGUUGGGUGUCGGCCUACGGCACGGGUGGAAGUCCGGGACGUUGCGCCUCGCGGCGCGCGUCCCGGGCCCCCGAACGCCCGGCCGGCUGCUCGACGGUACGCCCACGGUAUCGGGCCGCAGUCGUUCGCGAGUGCGUCCAGCCCGUCGCAAGCGCGGUCAGUGUCUACCCGGUGGUAACGGACCCGGUGCCGUCCCCGGGCCUGACUCGCUGUUGGUCGACGGUGUCCUCGGACAGGCCAAAAACUGUAUACCGGUCGGCGACGCUAUUGCUUUGGGUACUUUCAGGA
This 461-nucleotide ribosomal RNA is filed under the name Aulacus sp. BP345. RNAcentral describes it as "partial large subunit ribosomal RNA". Lineage: Eukaryota; Metazoa; Arthropoda; Insecta; Hymenoptera; Aulacidae. The record is from RNAcentral.